This 292-nucleotide ribosomal RNA is filed under the name uncultured bacterium. Its description in RNAcentral is "partial 16S ribosomal RNA". It matches the Rfam family "Bacterial small subunit ribosomal RNA", at positions 505 to 796 of the family's 1533-position model. The record is from RNAcentral.
GUGUCAGCAGCCGCGGUAAUACGUAGGGUCCGAGCGUUGUCCGGAAUUACUGGGCGUAAAGCGCGCGCAGGCGGCUUCCCAAGCGCCACGUGAAAGCCCCGGGCUCAACCCGGGAGGGUCGCGGCGAACUGGGAGGCUUGAGGCCGGUAGAGGUGGGUGGAACUCCUGGUGGAGUGGUGAAAUGCGUAGAGAUCAGGAAGAACACCCGUGGCGAAGGCGGCCCACUGGGCCGGUGCUGACGCUGAGGCGCGAAGGCGUGGGGAGCGAACGGGAUUAGAUACCCCGGUAGUCC